Molecule: non-coding RNA, 506 nt
Organism: Cuculus canorus (common cuckoo)
Lineage: Eukaryota; Metazoa; Chordata; Aves; Cuculiformes; Cuculidae
Source: the annotation of a RefSeq genome assembly
AGGGUCCAUGGACCUCAUCUGCAAAGGCUCCGGCUGCACCUUCAGCAGCUUCGCGAUGGAGUGGGUCCGUCAGGAGCCCCAGAAGGGCCUCCAGUGGGUCGCGAGCAUCAGCAGCAGUGGUGGCACAACCUACUACGCUCCGUCGGUCAAGGGGCGCUUCACCAUCUCCAGGGACAACGGCCAGAGCACGGUGACGCUGCGGAUGACCAACCUGAAGGCCGAGGACACGGCCACCUACUACUGCGCCAAAGAGAGUGCUGGUGGUGGUGGUGGUGAUGGUGAUGGUGGACCUCCUGGAGAACCUCCUGCGACCCUUCAAGGACCACCAGGAGCCCUCUGGAGCCCUUCAGGACCCCUUUAGAGAGCCCUCAGGACCCCUCGAGGUCUUCCAGAACCCCCUGAGAGCCGUCAGAGACCCCUUGAAGGCCUUCCAGGACCCCUCUGGGACCACCAGGACACCUCUGGAGCCCUCCAGGACCCCUUUAGGACCCUCAGGUCUCCUCUAG